RNAcentral lists this non-coding RNA (112 nucleotides) under Faecalibacterium sp. CAG:74. Its description in RNAcentral is "TPP riboswitch aptamer (THI element)". It matches the Rfam family "TPP riboswitch aptamer (THI element)". Rfam says of the family: Vitamin B(1) in its active form thiamin pyrophosphate (TPP) is an essential coenzyme that is synthesised by coupling of pyrimidine and thiazole moieties in bacteria. The previously detected thiamin-regulatory element, thi box was extended, resulting in a new, highly conserved RNA secondary structure, the THI element, which is widely distributed in eubacteria and also occurs in some archaea. The record is from Rfam by way of RNAcentral. RNAcentral also lists the same sequence under 1 other name. Lineage: Bacteria; Bacillati; Bacillota; Clostridia; Eubacteriales; Oscillospiraceae.
AUCAUCCGCGAUGGGAGCUGUGGGCGAGGGCUGCACGGCUGAGAGGGCAUUUUGCCGACCAUUUGAACCUGUGUAGGUCAUCCUACCGUAGGGACAGCGGAGGGACACGCGC